This 1501-nucleotide ribosomal RNA is filed under the name uncultured bacterium. Its description in RNAcentral is "partial 16S ribosomal RNA". It matches the Rfam family "Bacterial small subunit ribosomal RNA". The record is from RNAcentral.
GAUGUUUGAUCCUGGCUCAGAUUGAACGCUGGCGGCAGGCCUAACACAUGCAAGUCGAGCGGAUGAGAGGAGCUUGCUCCUUGAUUUAGCGGCGGACGGGUGAGUAAUGCCUAGGAAUCUGCCUAGUGGUGGGGGAUAACGUUCCGAAAGGAACGCUAAUACCGCAUACGUCCUACGGGAGAAAGCGGGGGAUCUUCGGACCUCGCGCCAUUAGAUGAGCCUAGGUCGGAUUAGCUAGUAGGUGAGGUAAUGGCUCACCUAGGCGACGAUCCGUAACUGGUCUGAGAGGAUGAUCAGUCACACUGGAACUGAGACACGGUCCAGACUCCUACGGGAGGCAGCAGUGGGGAAUAUUGGACAAUGGGCGAAAGCCUGAUCCAGCCAUGCCGCGUGUGUGAAGAAGGUCUUCGGAUUGUAAAGCACUUUAAGUUGGGAGGAAGGGUAUUCACCUAAUACGUGAGUAUUUUGACGUUACCGACAGAAUAAGCACCGGCUAACUUCGUGCCAGCAGCCGCGGUAAUACGAAGGGUGCAAGCGUUAAUCGGAAUUACUGGGCGUAAAGCGCGCGUAGGUGGUUCGUUAAGUUGGAUGUGAAAGCCCCGGGCUCAACCUGGGAACUGCAUCCAAAACUGGCGAGCUAGAGUACGGUAGAGGGUGGUGGAAUUUCCUGUGUAGCGGUGAAAUGCGUAGAUAUAGGAAGGAACACCAGUGGCGAAGGCGACUCUCCUGGACUGAUAACUGACACUGAGGCGCGAAAGCGUGGGGAGCGAACAGGAUUAGAUACCCUGGUAGUCCACGCCGUAAACGAUGAGUGCUAAGUGUUAGAGGGUUUCCGCCCUUUAGUGCUGCAGCAAACGCAUUAAGCACUCCGCCUGGGGAGUACGGUCGCAAGACUGAAACUCAAAGGAAUUGACGGGGGCCCGCACAAGCGGUGGAGCAUGUGGUUUAAUUCGAAGCAACGCGAAGAACCUUACCAGGUCUUGACAUCCUUCGCUACUUCUAGAGAUAGAAGGUUCCCCUUCGGGGGACGAAGUGACAGGUGGUGCAUGGUUGUCGUCAGCUCGUGUCGUGAGAUGUUGGGUUAAGUCCCGCAACGAGCGCAACCCUUGAUCUUAGUUGCCAGCAUUCAGUUGGGCACUCUAAGGUGACUGCCGGUGACAAACCGGAGGAAGGUGGGGAUGACGUCAAAUCAUCAUGCCCCUUAUGACCUGGGCUACACACGUGCUACAAUGGAUGGUACAAAGGGCUGCAAGACUGCGAAGUCAAGCCAAUCCCAUAAAACCAUUCUCAGUUCGGAUUGCAGGCUGCAACUCGCCUGCAUGAAGCCGGAAUCGCUAGUAAUCGCGGAUCAGCAUGCCGCGGUGAAUACGUUCCCGGGCCUUGUACACACCGCCCGUCACACCACGAGAGUUUGUAACACCCGAAGUCGGUGGGGUAACCGUAAGGAGCCAGCCGCCUAAGGUGGGACAGAUGAUUGGGGUGAAGUCGUAACAAGGUAACC